GCUUACGGCCAUACCACCCUGAACACGCCCGAUCUCGUCUGAUCUCGGAAGCUAUGCAGGGUUGGGCUUGGUUAGUACUUGAAUGGGAGACCGCCUGGGAAUACCAGGUGCUGUGAGCU
Ribosomal RNA from Oreochromis aureus, 119 nucleotides. The record is from Ensembl. NCBI's taxonomy places the organism in Eukaryota, Metazoa, Chordata, Actinopteri, Cichliformes, Cichlidae.